RNAcentral lists this ribosomal RNA (397 nucleotides) under uncultured bacterium. RNAcentral describes it as "bacterial SSU rRNA". It matches the Rfam family "Bacterial small subunit ribosomal RNA", at positions 358 to 772 of the family's 1533-position model. The record is from RNAcentral.
GGAAUAUUGGACAAUGGGCGCAAGCCUGAUCCAGCCAUGCCGCGUGAGUGAUGAAGGUCUUAUGAUUGUAAAGCUCUUUCACCGGGGAAGAUAAUGACGGUACCCGGAGAAGAAGCCCCGGCUAACUUCGUUCCAGCAGCCGCGGUAAUACGAAGGGGGCUAGCGUUGUUCGGAAUUACUGGGCGUAAAGCGCACGUAGGCGGAUAUUUAAGUCAGGGGGGAAAUCCCAGAGCUCAACUCUGGAACUGCCUUUGAUACUGGGUAUCUCGAGUAUGGAAGAGGUAAGUGGAAUUCCGAGUGUAGAGGUGAAAUUCGUAGAUAUUCGGAGGAACACCAGUGGCGAAGGCGGCUUACUGGUCCAUUACUGACGCUGAGGUGCGAAAGCGUGGGGAGCAAA